This is a long non-coding RNA of Betta splendens (Siamese fighting fish), 7402 nucleotides long. RefSeq lists it as uncharacterized. The transcript has 3 exons. Lineage: Eukaryota; Metazoa; Chordata; Actinopteri; Anabantiformes; Osphronemidae. The record is from RefSeq and is a predicted model, not a curated record.
GAUCAGGUAGGAAGCGGACUUCUUCUUCUAAUGUUUGUGAGCAAAUAAGACGGUGCAUUAGCGCCACCUGUUGGACCGGAGGACAGACCAGAAUAGGAGCAGCAGCAACACCAGCAGCAGCAGCAACAAAGCCUACAGCCUAUUCAAAAUGCUGCAGCCAGAGAUCUGACGGGACUAACAGAGAUCACAUUUGUCCGAUAUUCGCUUCUCUGCAUUGGCACCCUGUGAAAUCUUCAUCAUAAAACUACACCUAAGGGAGUGUGAGGGUUCCACGCCCCAGUGCUCCGUGUCCUCUGGCAGUGACAGCUGACGCAUCACAGGAGGGUAGAAGCUGGGUCCACCUGGAGGUCAGUCAUUACUAUGAAUCAUUUAGGCAAAGCAUCACUGGCAGCUUAAGGAGAAGAGAUCAGACUUCAGCGCUGGCGACUUCAAGCGUGUUAAGAAGAAUAGAUCCAGUGAGAAGAGCAUUAGGAGGUCAAGGACAAUUCAGUGGAGAGUCAACAACAUAUCAGUUCCAAACCAGGAACAUUGAUACAAACCACAAAGUUAAAUCCAUAGGGAUUUAUUUUCCGUGGAGCGGUGGAUCGAAGCAGUUGCUGCAUUGCCUGCCUCAUGUUUCACAGACAACAGAGCAGCUUUUCCAGGAGGCUGUCAAGCUUCCUCAAAAUCAAAGACAAUUAUAUGUUUUGCCAACACAGCAGCCUCAGCCGUCAGCAGCAAAGAGUUAAAGUCAAUAAAUCCUUUUGCUGACGUUGGGAAUUAUGGGACAGAACCUUUAGCAGCCUGUCAUCUGCUGGAAAUGUGAAUGAACAGUGAAUGAUCUGCUUCAUUAAAGAGUUUAUUACUGUUCUCUACAGCAGAUUUAUAGUAGCGAGAUGAAAUAGUGACCUACUGAUGACAGUAUAUAAGUGUAUAUAAAAUGGGUUCAUAACAAAAACAUGAAUGUUAUCUUGUAAAUUUUAUUUUUGAGUUUUAAGCUAUUUUUGAGUCUGAAUAUUGGCAUUUAAGGUUACUCCUUAUAGGCACAACUGUAAUAAUCACAGUAAUUCGCUUUACAGCAUUCGUUGUCGUAACUGACGGCAGGACUCAGCAGAUCUACGACUUAUUAUUGCAGCAACAUGUUUGUUCUACAUAUGUUUACUCCACAUGUUGUGUCUGCCUGAACCUGCACGAGUGACGAGGACAGUUUAAACUGUAUGAUGUAUCGAAUGCACCACUUCACACUUCUCUGUGUGUGAGACCAGUGAGUGAGGAUGAGGUGGUGACGAUUGUAUUUGGUCACUAGAUGGAGACGCCUCAGUGGCAGCGAUGACUUUGAAAUCCUGGUGCAGACAGUUUUCAAACCCUCAACAGCAUCGUGUAAUUGAUCUCACAUUUUUUCAUCCGUUUUAUUUGAAUGCAUUUGGUUGAACUCACACAAAUACUUGAUUCCACCAAAAAGCUUAAAUAGUAACGUCAAGAUAAGACAUAGGCAGUUUCCAUAAUCCUUCACCAGAUCAACACCUUUACUUAUUACACACAUGUAUUUUGGGAGAUGAGUAAGUGUUUAGAGCAUGUGUGACUGUGAGAAGGUUUAGGGAUAAGUGCUGGAGUACAAGUGCAGUUUGAAGGGCGUGUGUGAUGGGACUGAUGUGGGGUUUAGGUUCAGAGAGGUUAAAUAUAUGUUUACACAAACUGUUCACUGCAGAGGGUGAUUAGGAUAAAAACAGAGGUCAGAAAAGAGAGUGUUAGACUGAAGAUAUACGUACACAGCUGCAGGUGAACUGAGUUUUUUAGUUUUCAGCGCAAAAACAUUAACUCAUUUGUGAUGGCUGGGAGUCAAACCAAGGUCAACAUUUGUGUUGUGUGACCAGUCCAGUUUAUUAUUCAGAUGAACACUCAGGUAUUUGUAAGAGUCCGCUCUCUCAAUGUCUUUACCUCGGAUGUUCACUGGUGGUAGUGCAGAGUGAGAGUAUCUGGAAAACUCCUACUUUUUGGUUUUCACUACGUUGAUCUGGAGGUGGUUCCCUUGACGCCAGUCCACAAAGCUUUGGAUCAGUUCUGUGUAUGAGUUUCAGAUUCAUUGUGAGGGAAGGGAUGAGGGAGUGAAUAGGGGAGACUGGGUGGGGGCAGUGGUGGACCGCUCAUCAAAUCUAGUAAUGAAUAUAUUCAAGUCACUCACCCACUUCAGGUUCCCCUCAGCUGGUUGCCUGAACACAGGCUGGAGACGAACAGUAGCGUGUGUUCAUCAUGUUACAGUUCUUCUCAAAUGCUAAAACACAUUUCACAAACGUUCCCUGCAUGUUCCCCAAGGUCUAAACACAACACCCUUUUCCAAACCUACAUUAACACAACCACACCUUUCCACUUCAAAACUUCACACCAAAAGAGCAGCUCGAAGCUUUCAAAAAUGUAAACACAAUACACAUCAGUGCACAGACAGGGUGGCAGACAGACUGAAAAUAUAUACUAUCCAUGCACACAAGUUUUAUGUAUAAUAUAUAUUUCCCAUGACUGACAGUUUUUGUUUGUCAGGGUGUUGUUUACCUGUACUCAUUCUUUUAAUUUCACCCUCAUCUUGAUGUAGGUUUAGCAAAAUCUGCUCCUCCUAAUCAUCUUAAAAGAACGUUUCUUAAAGAGUAAAUGAGAAUCUCAGUGACACAAAUUACUAAAAUUGAUAAUGGAAACUUUAUUGUUUACAGAUCAAGAUGAUGACUGAGGGGUGUAGAAGUGUUCUGAUGCCAAUCUGUAGGACCAAGGGGGGUCAUGCAGAGCUGCAGCAACUACAGGAAUAACUAAAAGGAAUGAAGCAGAUGAGCCACACAAUGAAGCUGAAGAGUAGAGGAAACCAGGCUUAGGAAGGAGGUGGAGAAUCGUGAGCACCAGUUUGGUUUCAUACCCCAGUAAGAUUGUUGCCAUUGAUGGUGAAGUACAGAGAUGGUCACAAGGAGCUGAAUUGUGUCUUUGUAGAUUUAGAGAAGGUGAAUGACAGAGAGGAGCUGUGGUACAGUAUGAGGUUGUGGGGAGUGGCAGAGAAGUACAUUGAAGUAGUUCAGAACAUGUACUGUAUGAGGGGAAUGACGAUGGUGAGAUGUGUGUAGGGUGGAGGUGGGACUACACCAAGUAUCAGCUCUGCUGAUGGACAGGUUGACAGAUGAGGUCAGACAGGAAUCUCCCUGGACAAUGAUGUUUGCUGAUGACAUAGUGAUGUGCAGGGAAAGUAGAGAGCAGGUGGAGAAACAGAAUGUGUCUUGUACCACAAAACCCAGCAAGAACCGUAUCUUUGACUGCUCAAAGGCAAUUUAAAGAAGAAAUUACUAAGAACCUUAAGAUUUUAAGGGCAGAACAAAUUCUAGAAUGUGAAAGCAUGUUAUUGUAAAAAAGGUACUUGAAAAUACUGAAAUAAAAUGUGCAAUGUUUGUGUGUCAAAACAAACUGAGUAAAGUACUGCAACUUUGUUGAACAUGAAAAACAAAGCACCAGCAGCUGAAGCCAUUACCUAAGGUCACAGAAGCCUUCCAUGCGUCAUCAGCAAGGAUUUAAUGUACUGUUGAAGGAAUUUGUGGGGUCAGUCAAGUGCUAUGGUAAAGGUCAGCUCACAGACCAACUGAGUCAGUGAGACACUAUAAAUUACAUGUACAUUACUGUGUACAGUCCAUGGGACAUAAUAGCAACAACGCAGUAGUGAGAAGAUAGUGUGAUGUAUUGAUGUUGUGUUAGCAAUUACAGUAGCUCACAAGGAGCAAAUGUUUCUUCAUAAAUCUUUUUUCUGGUCGUACAAUAAAAUCACAUGAACUUUACCUUCAAAAGAAAUAUUUAGGCUAAGUUUUAUUGAAGUAAUAGAACAUUUUGAGGUAUACUAUUAUGAUUUAGAUUAUCUUUAAAAUAUUGUAGUGAAAGCUCUCGUGUGAAUCACAAUAAUAGGAUCAACUUUAUUCAUCCAACGGUGGGGAAGUUCAGUGAUUCAAACAUGAUCUCUUGUUCAGGUUCAUUUAAGUAGCUCACAGCUACCAGAACCACUGGACCAUUCUUUCCUGUAAUAGGGGAAAAAUCAGACAUUCCUAAGGUUUCACUAGCAUAAAUGACGUGUGCCUCUUCUUAGAGAUCAUGCAUGUUUCAAAGAGCACCAGAAAAAAUUGGUUGUCUUUCAUAGACAAUGUAUAAACAGCUGAGACGCUGUAAACCUACAUGCAUGAUUCGGUGGGAGAGACAUUCCUGUGGUUUCACUGUGCCAAUAUACACAGUAUCACCAGCGCCACCUUGUGGCACGCGCUGCUACAGCAUCACUCACUUUGCUCCGUAACGCGUUUACACAUGAAAACAAAUGGAAACAUCUAAAUUUAACGCUCAAAAUGUCAACAUGCAACAUAUACAGCGUUUACAACAUGACACGACAUAACCAACAUAAUACAACAAAUCAAACUAAGCUUUUACUUUUCUGGCCACUGACUAAAAUUUAAACAUAAAGUAACUGCAAUGGGUGAAAAAUCGAACACAAACUGUGCUACAGUACAGUUUUGAUGCCGCACUUUUGAAGAAUGACUCUGUUACUUUCCUCCAUGAACACGGAUGCUGAGGGAUGUGUUUUCUCUCUGAGAGGAGGCGCUGUCUAGUUUUCUCUGAAUCCCGGACAGUCCCUCCUUUUACACCAUGUGUUAUUCCACCCUGGACUAGAAUUAAUCGCACAUGUUCACCCAUUUUCUAUUGCGUGUAUAAUCUGUAUUGAUUUCAUUUUGUACUUGUGUGUGUCAGAAUUACAGGGGUGAUGGACCCAAACGCACAGACAGGACCUAAAGAGGAGCUUUAAUGCAGACAGUUCCAAAACGGCAGGCAAAGACAUGGUCAGACAGGUCAAAAGAACGGUAAAUCCAAAAUCCAGGCUGAGGUACCAACUGGGUCCAAACACAAGCAAGGUCAGAAACAGGAACCAAAUUAACUGGCUGGACUUACACAAGAGAAUGCUGGACCGCUGCCUAACAGGACAACAAGAACAGACAGUCUGAAGAGAAAAGAGGAGUAAGUGAGUACUGGAGUUUAAAUACAAGACUAAAUACCUGAUUGACUGCAGCUGUGGAGUCACAUGACUGAUUAGUAACACCAGAAUCAACUAGAACGCAGAACCUGAACAGGAAGUGUCAGAAUAAAACAGGAAAUGGCAGAAUGAAAAUUAAGAGUCCAUAUUCAUGACAGUUUGCAUCCUUUCUUGUGUUUUUCUUUCCUUCUGUCUGAAUUGAGGUCAGCUGUUACAAAGCAAAACAAUUUUCUUCUUUUCUCAAAUUUCUGGAUUCUGUGUAUUAAACUGGAUUAAUAAAGUUUUGGAAUUUAAAUUGUUAAAUAAAACACUGGAGAAUGAACUGAUAUAUUAGAGCUUGAAAAGAAACAAGGCUAUGAGAUAAAUAACAUGGGAGCCCAGUCCAGUGUGUCCAGGCAUAUAAAGAGCAAAAGCAUAAAAGAGGCUUUGUUAGUGCAUCAGCAGUGUCAGGUUGACCUCAUUACACAGUUAAAUGGCCUCGACUCCCCAUACAAGAAUGUCAUGCAGCAGGCAGGCCCACAAAACCCCACAUCAUCUACUGCUGUCCAUUUUCUCACACAUUAACUAUUACUAGAAAAGAAAACAAAAACAAGAGAGAAACUAAAUUAAUGAAUAAAUACUGUAAAAACAUUGCAGUAUGCAGAAGAAAUAUGAUCUGUUUGCACUAACCUUUUAUUUGUCCUUAUGUUAAACUAUAGAGCAACCUGCCAUCCAGCAGAUCCACAUACAGGAUCUGAAUAGUUGGGUACAAUUUUAUUAGCAUAAAUUUAAACAUUUUGUUAUGAAGUUUAAUGUUUAAUCGAAGGUAAAGUAAACGAUGAAAUUAUAAACUGAUCAUUCAACCAGUGUCACUCACAAACUAUGAUGUCGAACUAUGUUUGUUUUAGAAAGAUCCAUGAUCCCUCAAAUACUGUACUUGUGUGACUUCAAUCUCUAUCGUGUUUUUACCUUAACGGCACAAAUACACUUAUGCACACUUUGAUGUGUGUAUAAGUGUGUAUUAGAAUAAAGCAAGAAAUGUCAUAUAUUUAUUGGAAAAGUUCAUGAGCUUGUCACUAUCAGGAAAAUGACACAUUGGUAGACUGUAAGGUUGAGAAACUCUUUCAUGACAUGUGUUUCUUCAGUUAACCACAGGAAAACACUGGAUGUUUAGGCACCAGGACAGUAAAGUCAACAAGCUGUUUGAGAUGCAAUAAAUUCGCCAGCAGAGAGCAGCUCUGCAAAGGCAGCUGCAGGAACCGCAUUCAAACAAAAGUGAAAUCGCCUGGUUUGGUUCACAGAGAAACCAGAUUGUAUCUGUGUCAAACUGCAGGAGUUCUAGUCGGAAUUCAUUCAUGAUGUCCCAAAGUUGACAAAGUGAAAAUAACAUCGCUGACGACCAAACAGAAACCACAGACCACACUUCCAUUCCAUUUAACUUUAUGCUUUUUUCACAAAUAUCAUUGUCAUUGUUACUUAUGUGGUAGAUUUCAAGUUUCUGCGGAGUCACAACAUCAGUGAGUAUUUGAAACAAUCUGGUUUGGGCUCAUUUGUUGUUUAUGUCAUCAUAUUCUCUUACACACGGAUAAAACAUUGACAACCUUCAAGUUAAAGCAUUGAAAGCUAAAGUAGCCACUCAAAGCAGGACAAAUCAACAUAACUCUGAAGGUAUGUGGAGGUCAUUUCAGGGUGUGGGACACACCUCAUUUGUAAACGACAGUGGAUGAGUUGCCAACAUACUGUAGAUGUUGUGUAUGUUAGAAUGUCAUGAAUUGAUCCACUGUAUGAGGCCUGUUCCCUCACCUCCUUAGCAUUAACUCCUCCUUCGUGUUUCCCAUAUGGCCACUUGUGAGUUUCAUGUUCUCUCUGGACUCAUCAACUCAGCUUCAUUUGUUUGCUGCUGACAUGUUUCCUUAGCAACAGGCUUUGAAGCUUACCAUGGUGGAGACUAUUCAAAGGAGGCAAAGUGAACAAAGAGGAGACAAGUACACAAGGCAAACACAAAGUCACAUGGAUACCUGUACACGCCAGUGACUCACAUCUGAUGGAAACCCUUGACAACAAGAGAGAACACUUAUUUUGCAUUUUAUAAGUUUCAGCGCUUAUCUGGACCUGGAUAUGUUUGCUAUUAACUCUGCCACUGACUGUCUGAGGCUGGCCCUUAAACUGCUGUUACUUUUCCUCAAUCUCCAUGUUGUUUUAGUUCAAUUAAAAUUGUACACAAAGUUGAUAAAAUAUUUGUUCUAAUACUAGAGAGGUCCCAAAUCCUGUUUUGACAGGAUCCUACACAAAUUAAGUCCUAGUCCCAUUUGCUAGCUUUCCCUCCUCAUCUAUUCUAUGCUUCAUUUCUCACUCUACUUGUGUGUCUUCCAUCCUGCACCACAUCGAUACACCUUCUCUCUCAGUCUGAGA